GACGUAGGGCGCGAGCGUUGUCCGGAUUUAUUGGGCGUAAAGAGCUCGUAGGCGGCUUGUCGCGUCGAAUGUGAAAACUCGGGGCUCAACUCCAGCUUGCAUUCGAUACGGGCAGGCUAGAGUUCGGUAGGGGAGACUGGAAUUCCUGGUGUAGCGGUGAAAUGCGCAGAUAUCAGGAGGAACACCGGUGGCGAAGGCGGGGUCUCUGGGCCGAUACUGACGCUGAGGAGCGAAAGCGUGGGGAGCGAACAGG
RNAcentral lists this ribosomal RNA (253 nucleotides) under uncultured bacterium. RNAcentral's name for it is "partial 16S ribosomal RNA". It matches the Rfam family "Bacterial small subunit ribosomal RNA", at positions 524 to 776 of the family's 1533-position model. The record is from RNAcentral.